Long non-coding RNA from Oreochromis niloticus (Nile tilapia), 1702 nucleotides. RefSeq lists it as uncharacterized. The record is from RefSeq and is a predicted model, not a curated record. Lineage: Eukaryota; Metazoa; Chordata; Actinopteri; Cichliformes; Cichlidae. The transcript has 3 exons.
AUAAUUCCCCUUUUUCUUGCCUUAAAAGUAACGGAUUGUUCCAGCUGCAAUUAUCCAGCCUUUUGUUACCAUGACACCAAAUCAAACAAACACCAUCUAUGGCCAGCUGAGCGCAAAGAGGCUUCAACCACAAUGUCAAGGGGAAGAAGUCAGCUGCUUGUGGAGAACAAGCCAACUUGGCCGUAUAAUUUAUUGCAUGCACACACAGCCAGUAAGUAGAAAUAGAAAGACAUUAAAUAUACAGCUGUUGUGAGACCACUUUGUCAACAGGCUUUUUAUGCUCUACUGGAAAACUAAAUCUGUAGAGAACAUUUUAGCAACCGCAAAUGGGACAGGGACCGAAGCACAAAGACAGAGAAAAAAGUCUCACGGUGUCAGCAAAUAUUCAGUUUCCCAAAAUUUGUAUUGACCUCCACAGUUCCCCUUAACCGCCACUUCUUGCAAGCCCCAAAGUUGUUGUGUGAAGUGUCAGAUUCCAUCAAGCUCCAACACCGCCAAAGGUGGACAAUUUCUACUCGCACUUCUUGACCUGUCAACAUCUGAGGAAAUCAACUAUGCUAAAGCAGGCAGCAGACUCCCAACACAUCGGAGACACAUCAAGGACGGUUUGAAAAAGGGAUUUACCCAAACACUGGCUCUAGCGCUACAAAGGCUGAAUAUUUUUGUGACAGGUUUUUAAUACUGUUGGGUUUUUUUAUUUUAUUUAAAUAAAUAAAAAUUAAACUCGCUUCACAUUAUCAAUAAAGUGUAAAUUCAAAUGUUACAGACAUUAGAGUGAAACAGUCUGAAUACUGUGUAAAUCCCCCAUAUACACUGCUCUGAAUCAAGUCAGCACUGUAUGGGAAGAUUGUGAGUUUUUAUGUAUUUCAGCUCAUACAAAAAUCACACCCAUUGUUUUCUGGCAAAAAACUAUUAUAACUACAGAUUCUCUCAAACUGUAACCAUUCACUGUGUUUGCCACUACUCUCUUAAUUUCAGUUACAAGUGAUUAUAAAGGACAAAAAGACAUAUGCAAAGGCAGGCAUUAUAUGUUUAUUUUGAAGAAAUGUAAGUAAAAAAAAAAAAAAAAAAAACCAAAACAAAAAGUGGUGUUUUCUUCCAGAGAAAUAAGGACAAAAAUGCACAAAUGUUUUUUGUAUUUGGAUGACACCUUAAACAGUCUGAGAUACAGGUAGUGUAAAUACAGAAAUUAAAUAACAAUUGACUAAAACCCCAAACAUAUUACUGAAAACCCUACUUGUGUCAAACAAGCAGAUCCUGUGACAAACCCUAAUUUCUACUAUGGUACGAACAAAACCUACACAAACUAAUAGUGUUACAGAAGCACUUUUGACACAAAGAAAGUCUUGGAUCAAGAGGCUGUUGUGUUCCUGCACGUAAUAAUCAUCUGACAACUGUGGGAAAAUAAUCAACCUGUAGAAAGUUAGAAUGCAUGAUUAGAAGAUAUUGAGCAUCCAUGCUACAGAGAAGUACACUACUGAAAGAAAAAAAUAAUAAUAAUAAAAUCAAUCAUUCCGCACGGCGCAAUGACAGUCUUGUGAGUAAAUUAAAGUAUAAAGUCAGGAUAGUGUAUGCAAUGACUUAAAAAUUGCAGAAUAUUAAUACAAAUGUAUAGAUUUUCACAGGCAGUUAAAUGACCAAAAUUAGACUUUACAAUACCCCCAUCUCAGUCAGUGUUGACAAAUAGUUUACGCUAACAAAA